Magnolia sinica is the source of this 3001-nucleotide RNA transcript. It is a transcript of the gene named tubby-like F-box protein 3, with no coding region annotated. Lineage: Eukaryota; Viridiplantae; Streptophyta; Magnoliopsida; Magnoliales; Magnoliaceae. The record is from RefSeq and is a predicted model, not a curated record. The transcript has 7 exons.
GAGAGAGAAACAGGGACAGAGAGGAGAGAGAGAGAGAGAUCGAAACCCUAAUUCCUUCAUCUCAUCGCCUGCUGAAAUCUUUUUAUAAUUAGAAAGUUCCUUGCCCUAAGCGCUCCUUCCGGAGAAUUCUCCCCAAAUAUCCGAAACUGCCAUAUCUGUGUCACUCGCGGCGGGAUUUGUCCAGAUACUUCUCAUCUUCCCUAGAUUCCAAGCUCUCGAUCGAUACGAUUUUCAUCCCUUUCAGCUGAGAAUCUGCUGUUGUCUGUGUUCGAGCCUUCCGAGCUCUGGAAGCACCGUUUUCUUCCGGGACGAGCAAAAUGAUGCUUUGAAUCUCGAAUCGAGCUUGGAAGCGUUGCGUCUCAGCAAAAACACGGCGGCUUCUCAGUCAGAGCUCUGAGUGAUCGAGUCCACGGGUUCUAUGACAUACGAAGCAGCGGAUUGUAGCAAAAAAAAAAAUGCCCUUAUUUGAAUCUUUUAUAGCAAUGGAGUUGUAGCCGUUGAUCGUUGGAGAUUCGUAGGCGAUAGUCUCAAAUCAAGCUGCAGAUCAACAGAGAUUUUCAGUCGGAGCUAGAAGUGAUAGCAUCUGCAGAAUUUGCAGCAUUUUGAGCAGUGGAUUUUGCUAAAGAUCCGCCCUUUUUACCCUAAAUAGAAACUUCUGCGGGCAUGGAAUCAUAGCCAUUGAUCCUUGGAGAUUUGUAAGCGAUAAUCUCAUAUCUUGCUUCAAAGGAUGGUGUUUUUGGGCGUUAAAUGGCUGGAUCUGUAGAAUCUACAGCAUUAAACCAGCUGCUUGUGCUAAAAAUCGGCUUUUUUUUUUUCUCUCUCUUUUGCUUUGAUUUGAAAUUUAAAGAAAUGGAAUUGAGUGGAUAAUAAGUGAUCUUCAGAGAUUCGUCAUUGCUGUCUGUCCUCCUUUAGCUCCGUUUGCUUAUGUCAUGGUAAUGGAGUUAGUGCUAGAUUCCGAAAGGUUUUGAAGGUUGGGGCACGGUUGAUCUUUUGUUCUCGUGUAUUUUGAGUUGUAGAGAGGGAGAGCGGGGGAGGAACCGAUGUCUUUCAAGAGUAUUAUCCAAGACAUGAAAGGUGAGAUUGGUAGCAUUUCGAGGAAAGGAUUUGAUGUGAAGAUCGGGUAUGGAUUGAGGUCAAGGUCGCAUAGAGUAGUUCAAGAUGUUCCUGUACCGCUGAUUGAUGCUUUGAAGCAGAGUUGUUGGGCAAACAUGCCUCCGGAGCUCCUCAGGGAUGUGUUGAUGAGGUUAGAAGCUGCGGAGAGCUCAUGGCCAUUAAGGAAGCAUGUGGUUGCUUGCGCGGGGGUCUGCAGGAGUUGGAGGGAAAUCACAAAAGAGAUUGUGAAGACCCCUGAAUUGUCGGGGAAGUUGACGUUUCCAAUCUCAUUGAAGCAGCCUGGUCCAAGGGAUUCCCUUCUUCAGUGUUUCAUAAAACGAAAUAGAAGUACGCAAACUUAUCAUCUGUACCUCGGUUUGACUCAAGCACUGACUGAUAAUGGCAAGUUCCUCCUUGCUGCACGCAAAUGUCGGCGUCCCACAUGCACAGACUACAUCAUUUCUGUUGAUGCUGAGGACAUGUCUAAAGGAAGUGGUACCUACAUUGGAAAGCUAAGAUCGAACUUUCUGGGGACCAAAUUCACUGCAUAUGAUGCUCAGCCUCCUCAUGCUGGAGCGAUGGUUGCAAAAAGUCGUUCAACUCGCCUAGUGGGUUUGAAGCAAGUCUCCCCUAGAGUCCCUGCUGGCAACUACCCAGUUGCACACAUUGCCUAUGAGUUGAAUGUUUUGGGUUCCAGAGGUCCAAGGAGAAUGCAGUGUGUUAUGGAUUCCAUCCCUGCCUCUGCAAUUGAACCAGGAGGUGUGGCCCCUACUCCAACAGAGUUUCCUGUUGGGAGUGUUGAUUCCUUCCCGUCAAUCCCAUUCUUCCGGUCCAAGUCAUCAGCCCGUUCAGAGAGCUACUCGUCAGGGCCUUUGACCAGCCCGAAAGAUGGGGUGUUGGUCUUGAAGAAUAAGGCUCCGAGGUGGCAUGAGCAGCUACAGUGCUGGUGUUUGAAUUUUCGAGGAAGGGUGACAGUUGCUUCCGUCAAGAAUUUCCAGCUGGUGGCUUCACCAGAAAAUGGGCAGGCAAGCCAGGAGCAUGAAAAGGUCCUGCUCCAGUUUGGAAAAGUCGGAAAGGACUUGUUCACCAUGGAUUAUCGGUACCCAAUCUCCGCUUUUCAGGCAUUCGCCAUCUGCCUCAGCAGCUUCGACACCAAGAUUGCUUGCGAAUGACAAACAGGUGGGAGCUACUGGAACAUGCCUGGCCCUAAAUCAAUCUCCACUCAUCAGGUGGGCCACAUAUGUUCGUUGAACAUAAAACCAGGGUAUGUUCAGGAUGGCGCCACCUAAGGACUUAAUCAUUCUCACCUUAAUGGCCAGAGCUUCCAAAUCUAAACCACCCAGAGAUUUCACUAUAAAAGAAGUGGCAGAUGUCUCUCCCAAAAGUAGGGGUUGAUCUGGCAGUCUAAUAAAGAUCAUUGGAGAAGCUGAGGAGGAUGUAGCGCCAGAGGUUGGAAGACUCAUGGUUCGAGCCGCAGGCAGGUUGGUUGAUUCUGUCUCCUUGUAUAUUUACUGUCUUGGUGGUGUACAUAGACUUCUAUAGAAGAGAGAUUCCAUCACUCUAUUGCAUGAUCAUUCCCUACCUGUGCUGCCUGCCCACAGAACAGUUAUCUGUUUUUCUGUGAAAAAUGAACGGAACCUUAGAGUUUAAUUUAUAGGCUGCUCCAUUGCGUGUGAUGUGGCUGUCUAGCUGGCAAGAUUGCUGCCGUCCAUUUGCAUACCAGUGAGCUUGUUGCUGCUGCUGAUGCUGCUCUGUUGUUGUUUGUUUCUACAUGUAUUUCAAAAACAUUCAGCUGUUUUUUUUCUUCAAAGCACAAUUUGGAUGCUGACUACUGCAAUUUUUAUUUGGAAAAAGAGAUGCCUGGCCGAUUCAUGUGGCACACGUCUGAGAUCUGGGUCAUUCAAUGUGA